Molecule: ribosomal RNA, 758 nt
Filed under: uncultured bacterium
Lineage: Bacteria
Description: bacterial SSU rRNA
Rfam family: Bacterial small subunit ribosomal RNA
Source: RNAcentral
AGAGUUUGAUCAUGGCUCAGAAUCAACGCUGGCGGCGCGCCUAACACAUGCAAGUCGCACGAGAAAGCGGGAGCAAUCUCGCAAGUACAGUGGCGUACGGGUGAGUAACACGUGGAUUAUCUGCCCUGGAGUGGGGAAUAACGCUGGGAAACCGGCGCUAAUACCGCAUAUUCCCGAGAGGGGAAAGCAGCAAUGCGCUCGAGGAGGAGUCCGCGGCCGAUUAGCUAGUUGGCAGGGUAAAAGCCUACCAAGGCUAUGAUCGGUAGCCGGCCUGAGAGGGCACACGGCCACACUGGCACUGAAACACGGGCCAGACUCCUACGGGAGGCAGCAGUGGGGAAUCUUGCACAAUGGGGGAAACCCUGAUGCAGCGACGCCGCGUGAGCGAUGAAGCCCUUCGGGGUGUAAAGCUCUUUCGGCAGGGAAGAUUAUGACGGUACCUGCAGAAGCAGCUGCGGCUAACUACGUGCCAGCAGCCGCGGUAAUACGUAGGCAGCAAGCGUUGUUCGGAGUUACUGGGCGUAAAGGGUGUGUAGGCGGCCUGUUAAGUUCCGUGUGAAAUCUCCCGGCUCAACCGGGAGGGUGCGCGGAAAACUGGGGGGCUAGAGUACGGGAUGGGAGAGUAGAAUUCCUGGUGUAGCGGUGAAAUGCGUAGAUAUCAGGAGGAAUACCGGUGGUGUAGACGGCUCUCUGGACCGUAACUGACGCUGAGACACGAAAGCGUGGGUAGCAAACAGGAUUAGAUACCCUCGUAGUCC